RNAcentral lists this ribosomal RNA (747 nucleotides) under Klebsiella sp. pt5. RNAcentral describes it as "bacterial SSU rRNA". It matches the Rfam family "Bacterial small subunit ribosomal RNA", at positions 47 to 786 of the family's 1533-position model. Lineage: Bacteria; Pseudomonadati; Pseudomonadota; Gammaproteobacteria; Enterobacterales; Enterobacteriaceae. The record is from RNAcentral.
UUUAACACAUGCAAGUCGAGCGGUAGCACAGAGAGCUUGCUCUCGGGUGACGAGCGGCGGACGGGUGAGUAAUGUCUGGGAAACUGCCUGAUGGAGGGGGAUAACUACUGGAAACGGUAGCUAAUACCGCAUAACGUCGCAAGACCAAAGUGGGGGACCUUCGGGCCUCAUGCCAUCAGAUGUGCCCAGAUGGGAUUAGCUGGUAGGUGGGGUAACGGCUCACCUAGGCGACGAUCCCUAGCUGGUCUGAGAGGAUGACCAGCCACACUGGAACUGAGACACGGUCCAGACUCCUACGGGAGGCAGCAGUGGGGAAUAUUGCACAAUGGGCGCAAGCCUGAUGCAGCCAUGCCGCGUGUGUGAAGAAGGCCUUCGGGUUGUAAAGCACUUUCAGCGGGGAGGAAGGCGGUGAGGUUAAUAACCUCAUCGAUUGACGUUACCCGCAGAAGAAGCACCGGCUAACUCCGUGCCAGCAGCCGCGGUAAUACGGAGGGUGCAAGCGUUAAUCGGAAUUACUGGGCGUAAAGCGCACGCAGGCGGUCUGUCAAGUCGGAUGUGAAAUCCCCGGGCUCAACCUGGGAACUGCAUUCGAAACUGGCAGGCUAGAGUCUUGUAGAGGGGGGUAGAAUUCCAGGUGUAGCGGUGAAAUGCGUAGAGAUCUGGAGGAAUACCGGUGGCGAAGGCGGCCCCCUGGCCAAAGUCAGACGCUCAGCCAGACAAGACUCACCCCAACGCAGCUCACAUCCC